RNAcentral lists this ribosomal RNA (497 nucleotides) under uncultured bacterium. Its description in RNAcentral is "partial 16S ribosomal RNA". It matches the Rfam family "Bacterial small subunit ribosomal RNA", at positions 28 to 507 of the family's 1533-position model. The record is from RNAcentral.
GAUGAACGCUGGCGGCGUGCCUAAUACAUGCAAGUCGAGCGAACAGACGAGGAGCUUGCUCCUUUGACGUUAUCGGCGGACGUGUGAGUAACACGUGUUUAACCUACCUAUACGACUGGUAUAACUUCGGGAAACCGUAUCUAAUACCGUAUAAUAUUUCGACCCUCAUUGUUCGAUAGUUAAAGAUGGCUUUUCUUUCACUUAUAGAUGUACCUAGGCCGUAUUAUCUAGUUGUUAAGGUAACGGCUUACCAAGGCAACGAUGCGUAGACGACCUGAGAGGGGGAUAGGCAAAACGGGAAGAGAGAAAGGGUCAAGACGAGAACGGGAGGAAGCAGAAGGGAAUAUUACGAAAUGGGGGAAAGCGGGACGGAGAAAAGCGGGGUGAGUGAUGAAGGUCUACGGAUGGUAAAACUCUGUUAUAAGGGAAGAAGAAAAGUGGAAGGAAAAGUGCACAUAGUGACGGUACCUAAUCAGAAAGCAACGGCUAACUACGUG